This is a long non-coding RNA of Balaenoptera ricei (Rice's whale), 556 nucleotides long. RefSeq lists it as uncharacterized. NCBI's taxonomy places the organism in Eukaryota, Metazoa, Chordata, Mammalia, Artiodactyla, Balaenopteridae. The record is from RefSeq and is a predicted model, not a curated record. The transcript has 2 exons.
CACCUGGGGCCAGGCUGGGCAGGGGUGCAGCUCCCAGCAGGGAUGCGGUCCCCACGGGGGCCCCCUAGCCCUGCAGGGCCUGACAAGAGGGAAGGGGGAGCCCCUGUCCUUCCCCUCUCCUUCUUAACACAGUUUCCUCUUUUGCUUCCCUGUUCUCCUUCCAGACCUGCAGGCCUGGCAGUGUGGCCAGCCCGGGGCGGGGUGAGCCUAACGGCUUCCCGCAUACCCUGUGCCAGCCUCCUUUCUGACCUUGCCUGAAAUUCCCCCCAUUACUCACCAUCGGGUGCUAUCAUCAAGCCUGAGAAGUGGUUUGAGAAGCUAAUCUUGUCUUAGAAGGCUCUGGAGCUGGUCUGAAUGGCAAGCAGCAACAGUUUGGAUGCCUGGAGGUGCAGCAGCCACCUUUCAACCAUGAGGACAAAAGCCAGGUGCUGAGUGUGGUGGAGGAGAAAUAAAGAAGGAAUCUGGCUGACACCCCUUAGUAGUAGCACCGGCCCUUGACUGCCAACUCUGAAUUUAUUUUUUGCAAGAGAUUAAAAAAGAUCUCUUCUUUGUUUAA